CCCUUUGGUAUUCCUUAGGGCAUGCCUGUUCGAGCGUCACUACACACCUUAUGACAAUAUGUGUGGUCUUGGCAGGAGUGAAUUGCUGGUCUAUGGAAGUAUUCCAGCAGUACACAAUGCUAAAAAAUAUGGGAAGGUUACCAGAUAUGAACAACAGACUUUGUAAAUGGUUGUAGGACCUAGAUCAGUCACAGGUCAUGUCUGGUCCCUUACCUUAAGGACCCCCCAUCCUAGAUGAACUAUGGGUUGACCUCGGAUCAGGUAGGAAUACCCGCUGAACUUAAGCAUAUCAAUAAGCGGAG
This 302-nucleotide small RNA is filed under the name Tuber himalayense. RNAcentral describes it as "eukaryotic LSU rRNA". The stretch from base 248 to 302 matches the Rfam family "Eukaryotic large subunit ribosomal RNA", at positions 1 to 55 of the family's 3401-position model. Lineage: Eukaryota; Fungi; Ascomycota; Pezizomycetes; Pezizales; Tuberaceae. The record is from RNAcentral.